This 471-nucleotide unclassified non-coding RNA is filed under the name Petrocosmea minor. RNAcentral describes it as "partial external transcribed spacer". Lineage: Eukaryota; Viridiplantae; Streptophyta; Magnoliopsida; Lamiales; Gesneriaceae. The record is from RNAcentral.
GUGGUGAGACAAGCAUAUGACUACUGGCAGGAUCAACCAGGUAGCAUUCCAUGUUGACUUUUGGCACUGCAUGGAAGAAUCCAAAACAACACCAAUUGUCGUUCGCAAAUAGCGUGGGACGCUGUUUUAGGGGCAAAUAGAGGACCGAUGAUGAUGCCUCGUACCCACGACGUACUCCAUGACCGAGAGAACGAACGCGAUGCCAUUGAUCCAACAAACCAAGUACACCGAAGCAAUGGAAGUUGGAGCAUGGCAUUUGUUUCGAAGUCCACCUCGUACCAAGAACCCAAGGGCUCCAAGCUUGAGGCGAAAUGACGUCAUUAAUCCAACCAAUUCCCACACCAUGGGUAUAGAACACAAGAAACCGAGCUCGGCCAAGAUGUUUUCCCGCUCUUGAACCGAUUAAUGAAAAGAGAUGCCGGAUAUAUUUUCGCUGCGCAAGCAGGGACCGAACAUACCCAUACACACCGA